RNAcentral lists this long non-coding RNA (343 nucleotides) under Canis lupus familiaris (dog). Its description in RNAcentral is "lncRNA (ENSCAFG00000055033.1)". Lineage: Eukaryota; Metazoa; Chordata; Mammalia; Carnivora; Canidae. The record is from RNAcentral.
GCCAAAGGCAGGCGCCAAACUGCUGAGCCACCCAGGGAUCCCCUAGUACAUUAUUUUUUAAUGUUAAAGAUUAAGUGAGAUUUUAUUGAAACAGAUCUUAUUAGUAAAUACAUAAGUAAAGUAGUUCAAAACAUUAGUAAAAUAGCAUUCAGCACUUUUUACUAAAUUUUACAAGUUUUUAUCUUUUUUUAGGAACCGUCAAGAAAAGAAGAUUUGUUGUGACAAUACAAAGUUCAUGAUAAUUGAUUUGCAUAAUAACUGACUUCGGUUAACAUACUGGUCUUGGCUGAGGACAUCCCGACAAACUGGAAAAUUGGAAGUGAAUUGUGAACCUGUAAUGCCA